UACGGGGGGGAGCAAGCGUUGUUCGGAUUUACUGGGCGUAAAGGGCGCGUAGGCGGUCGUGACAAGUCACUUGUGAAAUCUCCGGGCUUAACUCGGAACGGUCAAGUGAUACUGUCGGACUAGAGUACAGAAGGGGCAACUGGAAUUCUCGGUGUAGCGGUGAAAUGCGUAGAUAUCGGGAGGAAUACCUAUGGCGAAAGCAGGCUACUGGACCGUCACUGACUCUGAUCUGCGAAAGCUAGGGGAGCAAACAGG
Molecule: ribosomal RNA, 255 nt
Filed under: uncultured bacterium
Lineage: Bacteria
Description: partial 16S ribosomal RNA
Rfam family: Bacterial small subunit ribosomal RNA
Source: RNAcentral